UAAUCUAGUUCCCUCUAACGUUACUCUGAUACGCACCUAACUUGUGAAAUACAAGUUAUUUGUGCUCGAUGUAAAGGUUACAGCCCAUUCAAAGGUUACAUGCGGACGUGCGCUGCCCUCUUACAGGUUACAUUGCGAGAGAAACAGUGGCGUUACCCCUAAGGACGGCGUUACGCUUUUGGAGAAGUUACCAGCGUUACUUAUAAAAGCGAAGUGGUCCGCAGUUUCGCGAAAGUCGGCAGGUGGAGGUUGCACGUCAAGUGGCAGUUGGCAACAGCGUGUAUCAGGAAAAAGCGGGAGGAGCGUUUCGCUUGCUGUGUGGUACCUCGCCGCUUCGACAUCCGUUGCAUUGGAAACAACGGAAUUCAAAGUCACAUACUCGCAGGUGGAUAUAUGAUGUGACGGACGCACACAGACAUUCGAAGUUUCACACAGGGACGUUGCACGGACGCCGGCUGUGAUCGUGAUGCAUUUAUUGGAGAAAUGGAUGAAAAUGGACAUGCAAUGGAAGAAGCAUGCUGUUAUUGUCACCAUGCACGAGCCAAGCAUGCAGCACUGAGUGAAACAGGUAACCCAUAGCGCAGCUCCACUGGUUCCAAAUUUGAUGGACACAGCCAUGAGUUACCUGGCAGUAUUGUGGCAGAGGGUAUCUUGUGCCACAGAAGUACAUACGAACAGUCCAGCAGAAAUACAGCAGCAGCCCAAUCCCAGUCUAUAACUCUGCAGAGGCUCAGAGAGAUAGCAGCAAACCAGGUCCUUCCCACAACUCUCCGCAAGCUCGGGAUUCGUCGCAAACCCAGCCAGCCAGCCAUGUACGAACCUAUAUUUGCCAACAUUGUAGAUUGUCGACUAGGUAUUUCCAGUGCUUUUGUGACCACGUUGUUCAGUGUGUUGGGUGUGGCUUUCUCCCUUCUUGUGAUACUUGUGGAACAACGUUUGAAACCAUCUAAAGAUACAUGUACAUCAUUUGAAUUUUUGUAUUUAGUUAAGCACACGAGUACAGGAUGACAUAACAUGACAGGAUGAGCCAGCCAACACAAUGUAUAGGUGAGCUACUUGAGCACAUGGAAAGAACAGAUCAAAGUUCGAAGAAUAAUCUGAAGAAAAAAAAAAAGGCUAUUUAUGCCAUAACCCAGAGGGCCACCACAUGUGCUCCAAGGUGGUUGUCGAUUGCGUUGUAAGCAGCAUAGAGGAAUUGUUUCAGGAAAUGGGUGUGCAGAUUGACACCCCUUUGGUAAAAUCAGAUCAGGUUCGGAAGUUGCAUUAUGAGGAACCCCUGAUUUUUUGUAACGUGCCUUAAGUGCAAAAUGCGUUGGGGUUCUUUAUCUCAUUAAACUUUCAUUUAGAUAAUUUUUCUACACGUCAUGUGAAGAUGACUACGAAUUAUCUAUUUUGCUAAAGUCAAAAAGUGACUUGUCAACUCAGUUCCGUUAUAUGUACAUUCAGUGCAAGGUGUUCUGCAGUUUAGUAAUACUCAUAUUUCAUAUAUGCCUUUUCUCUGCAUGAUCCUUCGGAGAUAUUUUGCUCCACUGAAGAAGAGACUUGUGAACUCGAUUUUGACUUUCAGUGCAAAGUGUAUUGCAUCUUGAACUUUUAAUAUUACUCCUAUUUAAUAUGUUACAAUUCAUUCUUUGAAUGGUCUUUCCAUGUGUCAUAUGAAGAUGAUAAAGAAUUUUACAGUAUAUUUUUCGAGUAUUUUGCGUAGAAUACUAUGUAGUAUGAACCGUUGAUAAUAAAGUAACGCUGUGUUUGCAAAGAAAA
Molecule: long non-coding RNA, 1761 nt
Organism: Ornithodoros turicata
Lineage: Eukaryota; Metazoa; Arthropoda; Arachnida; Ixodida; Argasidae
Exons: 4
Source: RefSeq, a predicted model, not a curated record